CCCAUUUGAAUAAAUAAAAUUAUUCCUUAUGUGCUGGUUUGCUUGGAAUUGCCAGUCUGUGGGGCCUUGAAAGGUAUAUAUUUAAGGUAUUCGAACUUUGCAGCAUGCAUAUCAAGAUGGCCGUGUAGAGGAAGUUGCAUCGCCUCAUCUCGGGGCUGAAGAUGGAAAUACUGUGAUCGCUAAAAAUAUCAGGCUUUCAGAUUUCCUUGGUAGCUUGCAAAUAAGUUGAAUCACGCUGCUUAAUAAUUCCUGUGUAAGUGUUAUCAGAUAAUGCAAACAUAUUUAUAUUUUCAACUUGUGAAAGGUCUUCAAUUUCCUGUGUCAAGCUCUUGUUUUUUGUGAGGUAAAAGGCCAUUGUUUAUAAGUAUGGUAUUCCAUUCUGACAGUUCAUUUUUCUGAGGACCAUUAUCUUGCAGGGAUUUUUCUGUGGCCUCAAUAUACCUGCAAUGUUUCCAUUUCCUCUUUACAUCCUUCUGUUUGGAGAUCAGAAUUUUCAAGAAUUCAAUUUAAUCGAUUUCUUUUUUAUCAAUUCUUAUGUUUGGAAACUUAAUCAGUUGAAGAAUUCAAUUCUUUUUAUGUUAAAAAAAAUUAUUUUAAAAGAAAUAGAAAUCAUGCCAAAAAAAUAUGAUUGUGUGAAAAUUGAAUUGAAUUUUUUUUUGGCAAAUUAUUUUUUCCAAAUUUAGCCAACAGCGUUUAACGUGGGAUCUAUUUGGGCUUUAUAACCCUGCACUGCUUUAUGUUUGCACAGUUGUUUGCAUGAAAAUUCAUUUUAACGAAAGCUUAUAAGCGAUCAAAAUAAAACAGUGGUUGGAUGAUGGGUCGCGGGUGUACUACAAGUUACUUGCAGUUCUUUUUAAAGAAGUGCUAAGCAUGUAUAGUGUCUGUAUAGGUGUUACACGACAUGUUUUCUUGUCAAAUAACAUAUAUAUGUGUCACUGCAGUCACAGUGUGAAUGCUAGCAUCCUCUCUUUCUCUCUCUUCAUUAGUUGGCCGUUCUGGCAUAAUUUUGGGGUCACUCGACAUAUACCUGCUUAUCUAAUGUGAUGUGGCAUUACUUGAGGGUAUUUUCCCAUAGAAUAUGCCCUCUCUAAUUUUAUAGUUGCUGUUGUUUCCAAAAAUGCAGGAUUACUUACUCGGUUGGGACUUAAUUAUGGGAAGCUAGAAGGUGUGUAACAAACUGCAUAUCACGUUAAGAUGAAAUAACAGUGAAGAAAAUGUCAACCCCACGCAAAAUUACAUUUAAUGAUGAGUUAUGAACUUGCCGAUGAAAAUCAAUUUGAAUAAUGGAUUUUUGCCAAUACAGCUUACUUCCCUCACAGCAGAAAGGGAAGUGAACUAUCUUUUGCUAUAGGAUUUGUUCCCCUUAUCAUCCUCAAUGUUUGGAGGUAUGGAUAUCAUAAUUUCCAAGAACUCGAUUAUCAGGGUAGGUGUGUCGAACCCAUUUUAGAUCUUCCUUGGUAAAGAUUGCAUUGUGUGGUUGACUGUAUAAUAAUUUUGACAUUGUGAAAUAUGUGAAUGAGAUUUUAGUGGAGUUAUGCUAUAGACUUGUGCUUAAAAUUUCUUAAAA
Molecule: long non-coding RNA, 1567 nt
Organism: Hevea brasiliensis (rubber tree)
Lineage: Eukaryota; Viridiplantae; Streptophyta; Magnoliopsida; Malpighiales; Euphorbiaceae
Exons: 3
Source: RefSeq, a predicted model, not a curated record